CCUACGGGAUGCAGCAGUUGCGAAACCUUCACACUGUGGGAAACCACGAUGAGGAGAUUCCAAGUGCCAACACCCAGUGUUGGCUUUUCAGAUGUCUAAAACGCAUCUGGAAUAAGGGCCGGGUAAGACGGGUGCCAGCCGCCGCGGUAACACCCGCGGCUCAAGUGGUGACCAUUAUUAUUGAGCUUAAAGCGUUCGUAGCCGGUCUGGUAAAUCUCUGGGUAAAUCGAACGGCUCAACCGUUCGAAUACCAGGGAGACUGCUAGACUUGGGACCGGGAGAGGCCAGAGGUACUCUUGGGGUAGAAGUAAAAUUCUGUAAUCCUAGGAGGACCACCAGUGGCGCAAGCGUCUGGCUAGAACGGAUCCGACGGUGAGGGGCGAAGCCCUGGGGCGCGAACCGGAUUAGAUACCCUUGUAGUC
This 422-nucleotide ribosomal RNA is filed under the name uncultured archaeon. RNAcentral's name for it is "bacterial SSU rRNA". It matches the Rfam family "Archaeal small subunit ribosomal RNA", at positions 322 to 746 of the family's 1478-position model. The record is from RNAcentral.